This 382-nucleotide RNase P RNA is filed under the name Gemmatimonadetes bacterium SCN 70-22. RNAcentral's name for it is "RNase P RNA component class A". It matches the Rfam family "Bacterial RNase P class A". From Rfam's summary of the family: Ribonuclease P (RNase P) is a ubiquitous endoribonuclease, found in archaea, bacteria and eukarya as well as chloroplasts and mitochondria. Its best characterised activity is the generation of mature 5'-ends of tRNAs by cleaving the 5'-leader elements of precursor-tRNAs. Cellular RNase Ps are ribonucleoproteins. Lineage: Bacteria; Pseudomonadati; Gemmatimonadota. RNAcentral also lists the same sequence under 1 other name. The record is from RNAcentral.
CAUGCUGGUCGGAUGAUCGCGUCGGGAGUGCCGUCAAGGGUACUACUCGCCGAGGAAAGUCCGGGCUCCUUGGACAAGCUGCCAGGUAACUCCUGGGCACGGCCUCGCGGCUGUGACGGAUAGUGCCACAGAAAACAAACCGCCGGUUUUUCGAAACCGGUAAGGGUGAAAAGGUGGGGUAAGAGCCCACCGCGCCAGCGGUAACGUUGGCGGCACGGUAAACCCCAGCUGGAGCAAGGCCAAAUAGGCGGCGAGAGACAGUCCUUCUCGACCAAGACGCCGCGGGUUGGCUGCUAGAGCGUGCUGGUGACAUCACGCCGAGAGGAAUGAUCAUCCGGAUCCCAGGAUCCGACAGAACCCGGCUUACAGGCCAGCAUGUAUC